UAAGGAAUAUUGGUCAAUGGGCGCAAGCCUGAACCAGCCAUGCCGCGUGCAGGAAGACGGCCCUAUGGGUUGUAAACUGCUUUUGUCAGGGAAUAAACCCCCGCUCGUGAGCGGGGCUGAAGGUACCUGAAGAAUAAGCAUCGGCUAACUCCGUGCCAGCAGCCGCGGUAAUACGGAGGAUGCAAGCGUUAUCCGGAUUCAUUGGGUUUAAAGGGUGCGCAGGCGGAUUGGUAAGUCAGGGGUGAAAUCCCACAGCUCAACUGUGGAACUGCCUUUGAUACUGUCAGGCUAGAGUAUAGUUGAAGUGGGCGGAAUGUGUCAUGUAGCGGUGAAAUGCUUAGAUAUGACAAAGAACACCGAUCGCGAAGGCAGCUCGCUAAGCUAUAACUGACGCUCAUGCACGAAAGCAUGGGGAUCAAACAG
RNAcentral lists this ribosomal RNA (423 nucleotides) under uncultured bacterium. Its description in RNAcentral is "bacterial SSU rRNA". It matches the Rfam family "Bacterial small subunit ribosomal RNA", at positions 355 to 775 of the family's 1533-position model. The record is from RNAcentral.